Molecule: small nucleolar RNA, 71 nt
Organism: Uranotaenia lowii
Lineage: Eukaryota; Metazoa; Arthropoda; Insecta; Diptera; Culicidae
Product: small nucleolar RNA U18
Exons: 1
Source: RefSeq, a predicted model, not a curated record
UCGAUGAUGAAAAUUUUGGUCCGUGUUUAUGAUUUUUUACUGAUUAAACAUCAAUCCAAUUUCUGACCCUC